GGGGAAGGGCCGAGGAUCAGUGGGAGAGCAUCUGCUUUGAAUGCAGAAGGUGCCAGGUUCAAUCCCUGGCUUCUCCA
Non-coding RNA from Podarcis lilfordi (Lilford's wall lizard), 77 nucleotides. The record is from the annotation of a GenBank genome assembly. NCBI's taxonomy places the organism in Eukaryota, Metazoa, Chordata, Lepidosauria, Squamata, Lacertidae.